Molecule: ribosomal RNA, 441 nt
Filed under: Triticum aestivum (bread wheat)
Lineage: Eukaryota; Viridiplantae; Streptophyta; Magnoliopsida; Poales; Poaceae
Description: partial small subunit ribosomal RNA
Source: RNAcentral
AUGCUCGCUCGACCACUGACCACUCUGUUAUGCAAGAACACACCUUUCCAGUGGACAGCAGCCACCCAGGCUGCUUUUGAGGCCCUCAAAUCUGCCCUAGUGACAGCUCCCACUCUGGCUCUACCUGAUUUCACUAAGCCCUUCGUAAUUGAGACGGAUGCUUGCGAAUACGGAGUCGGCGCUGUGAUUCAACAGGAAAGCCAUCCCAUUGCAUACCUCAGCAAAGCAUUGGGUCCCCGCACAAAAGGGUUGUCCACUUACGAAAAAUAAUACCUAGCAAUUGUCCUAGCUGUUGAGCAAUGGCGGCCGUACCUACAGUUUGGUGAGUUUGUGAUCAAAACUGACCAGCGCAGCCAAGUGCAUUUGGAAGAGCAGCGGCUCCACACUCCUUGGCAACAGAAAGCGUUCACUAAACUCUUGGGACUUCAGUACCUUCUCUAA